AACAUUCCAUGCAUCUGACACUCAGUGGGCUUGGCCAUGUCCUGGGCAUUAUUCUGACCUUUAAAUAACAAGCUCUUCAAUAUUCUGGAAAUAAUUUAAAAGCACGGAAAUAAUAAGUGCCACAGUAUAAUAGCAAACAUCCAAUACAACCUCAACCAUAUUCAUGUCCAUCUUCAUUCUCUCCCUCCUAUCUCAAGGAGGAAACUAUUGUGGUACAUUGCAAAUGGCCACAAAUUCUCUGCAGCAACUCUCACCAAGAUCUAGUUCCUUACUGUUUGGAUCUGGCUUAACCUUGUGGCUUGCUCUGCGCAACAGAAUGUAGCGGAAGUGAUGCUGGGUGAAUUCUGAGCCCAGGUUCAAUAGGCCUUGGAGUCUCUGCUCUCAUUCUCCUGGGACAGUGUUACCAGGUGAAGAAGCUUGGCUAGCUUGUUGGUGAGAUCACGUGGAUGAGAACCAAGACACCUGGCAAACAGCCUGCUGACCACUAAAUAUGUGGGUGAGGCCAUUGUAGACCACCCAGCCCUGAAUGACCUCCAGCUGACUUCAGCCUCCUAAGUGAGACCAGGUGAGACCCACAGAAGAACCUUUUGAGUGCACCUAGAUGUCUGACCAACAGACUCACGAGCUAAUAAAUGGUUUUUAAGUCAA
This is a long non-coding RNA of Homo sapiens (human), 648 nucleotides long. The record is from Ensembl. NCBI's taxonomy places the organism in Eukaryota, Metazoa, Chordata, Mammalia, Primates, Hominidae.